Molecule: long non-coding RNA, 516 nt
Filed under: Aedes aegypti (yellow fever mosquito)
Lineage: Eukaryota; Metazoa; Arthropoda; Insecta; Diptera; Culicidae
Description: lncRNA AAEL024895
Source: RNAcentral
GGAAAAAAUCUGAUCCCAUUAUCAUGAUUUACGAAUCAUGAAAAUUAUAAAUUGCUCUUGGGACGAAAUCAUGAUUCAGACUCAUGAUUUUUGAAGCUGAGCUACCACUAUCAUGAUUCAGAGCAACCAUUUUCAUGAGCUCCAAAUCAUGACCAUGAAAAGCGUUACGCACACGGUGCACCUGUCAAAACGUGUUUAGCAAAGCUUGUGCAAAGCAUAGUUGGCUGCGCAUUCACGGAAAAGUUGCCCUUUUUUUUAAAAAAAAAAGUUCACUUUUAUUGCCGGUUUCCUGCGCCGCUGUUGCUCUACUGUCGUUCCUGCUCUACUAUUCCGUUCCUGCUCCGUUGAUAUCGAGCUAUUCCGGCUCUGCAGAACUACCGCCGUUUCAUUCUGUUCCUUUCCUGCCGUGGCUGUUGCCCGUUCCGGCUCCGCAUUGAGGGAAAAUUCUUCCGGCUCCGCUCUACUAACUACCGCCGUUUUAUUGUCCCAGUGCCACCGUCGCCAUUCCCGCCGCGG